ACCGGAUAGCCUUUCGAGUCCUUGGACUCGUCAGAAAAGGUGGCUUCGGCUUCCGGCUGAGGAUGAGCCCGCGGCGGAUUAGCUUGUUGGUGGGGUAAUGGCCCACCAAGGCCACGAUCCGUAGCUGGUCUGAGAGGACGAUCAGCCACACUGGGACUGAGACACGGCCCAGACUCCUACGGGAGGCAGCAGUGGGGAAUCUUGCGCAAUGGGCGAAAGCCUGACGCAGCGACGCCGCGUGCGGGAAGAAGGCCUUCGGGUUGUAAACCGCUUUCAGGAGGGACGAAGCCACUCGGGUUAAUAGCCCAGAGGGUGACGGUACUCCAGGAAGAAGCCCCGGCUAACUACGUGCCAGCAGCCGCGGUAAUACGUAGGGGGCAAGCGUUGUCCGGAUUUACUGGGCGUAAAGCGCGUGUAGGUGGAGACUUAAGUCUGGUGGGAAAGCCCCUGGCUCAACCAGGGAAGGACGCUGGAAACUGGGUCUCUUGAGGGCGACAGAGGGAAGUGGAAUUGCUGGUGUAGCGGUGAAAUGCGUAGAGAUCAGCAGGAACACCCGUGGCGAAAGCGGCUUCCUGGGUCGCCCCUGACACUGAGACGCG
This 599-nucleotide ribosomal RNA is filed under the name uncultured bacterium. RNAcentral describes it as "bacterial SSU rRNA". It matches the Rfam family "Bacterial small subunit ribosomal RNA", at positions 168 to 755 of the family's 1533-position model. The record is from RNAcentral.